GCGGAUAAAGUUUGACGCUGGGCGGGCGGCGGCAGGUCACGUGAGGAGAAGAUGGCGGCCCCGGCGGGCAGCGGGGGCUCUGCGGUGUCGGUGCUGGCCCCGAACGGGCGGCGCCACACGGUGAAGGUGACGCCGAGCACAGUGCUACUGCAGGUUCUGGAGGACACGUGCCAUCGGCAGGACUUCAACCCCAACGAGUACGACCUGAAGUUUCAGAGGAAUGUGCUUGACCUCUCUCUCCAGUGGAGAUUUGCCAAUCUGCCCAAUAACGCCAAGCUGGAGAUGGUGCCCAUCUCCCGGAGCCGCGAGGGGCCCGAGAACAUGGUGCGCAUUGCUCUGCAGUUGGAUGAUGGCUCCAGGUUGCAAGACACUUUCUGCUCAGGCCAGACACUCUGGGAGCUUCUCUGCCGCUUUGCCCAGAUCAGGGAGUGUCUGGACCGGCCGUGUGAGGCCAGCCCCAUUUGCGUGUACAUGAGAGAUGAGGUGACCGGUAGAGCCGCCUUGCAGAGCACGACGCUGCAGUCACUGGGCCUCACCGGGGGCAGCGCCAUCAUCAGGUUUUCCAUGAAGAGACAUGAUUCCACUGGCAGGCAGGAGCCUGGGGUCUCCUGGAGCAGAAGCCCAGGAAGCCCGACCCCUUCCUUGUCGGCCGACCAGGCAGCCAGCAGCCCUCCGUUUCCACUGAAUUCAGCGGAGCUCAGCCAGGGCGAUGUGAGCCAUCAGGAUGAGGCAGCGAGCCCGGGGGCUGGCCGCGUGGAUGGCCUGGGCCCGAAGCCGGUGGACGCUCAGGCAAAGCAGAUCUCGAAGGAGCCCACGCCAGCCCCCUUUGUUCCUUUCUCGGGUGGGGGACAGCGACUGGGGGGCCCCUCCGGGUCCGUGAGGCCUGUGAUGUCAUCUUCAGCCAAACUGCCAAAGUCCUUCUCCAGCCCUGCAGGCCCCUCCCAGCCAAAGAAGUCGAGGCCUGGCCAGGAGCCCCAGCCGGAGCCGGAGCUGCCAGUGGACCGAGACCCCGUGGUGUGCCACCCUGACCUGGAGGUGCUGCUCCAGGCCUGGCCUGCAGAGCUGCCUGACGAGUUCUUCGAAGUGACCGUGGAUGAUGUCAGAAGACGUUUGGCCCAGCUCAAGAGUGAACGGAAGCGCCUGGAAGAAGCCCCCUUGGUGACCAAGGCCUUCAGAGAGGCUCAGAUGAAGGAGAAGCUGCAGCGCUACCCUAAGGUGGUCUUGAGGGUCCUGUUUCCUGACCGCUACAUCCUGCAGGGCUUCUUCCGCCCCAGCGAGACCGUGGGGGAUUUGCGGGACUUCGUGAGGAGCCACCUGGGCAACCCCAAGCUGCCGUUCUACCUGUUCAUUGCUCCUCCAAAAACCAUCCUGGACGACCACACGCUGACCCUCUUUCAGCAGCCGUCUCCUUUCAUCCGUCAGCUCGCCCUGGAGCCGUGGGGCCUCUGCUCGGAGUGGCGUCCCUGCCCGCCCGCGAUCAGAGAGCUGGCAGGGCUCAGGGAAGGAAGGCUUCCUCCCUCCUGCGGCUUCAACUGCAAUCUCAGCGUUCCUAGGCCUGGCCUUUGAAGCUUCCUCUUAUUAAUACUCCCCGCCCAGACGCCAAGAGCUCAGAGCUGGGCAGAGAGGAUGCGCUCACCUGGCAGCAGUGGCCCUUCCUCCAGGGCUAAGGACACAGAGCCUUGGGCGGUGGCCUUCCUGCUGGCUCAGGCCAGCUUUGGGGCUUACAGCCAUGGUCCUCGUCGGGUGCAGAGGCGGGAAUAGAGGCAGGUUACGACACUGGAGGGCUUCGGGAUCCUCUGCAACAGCCCUGACUCUGCACCACAGUCCAGCCCCCUACCUGGGAGGCCUCCGGGGGCGUUUCGGGGGCCACGUGAUAUGUCCUUGUCCCACACCUGCGCAGGUGGAGCCAGUCCUGAGCAGAAAUCUUGCACCACCACCCCCAUGGACAGGCCUCCGGGAGGGGUGUGGGGACCCCAGUGCAACACCCACCCUGCAGGACAGGCUUGAUGCUGGCUGGCACUGGCUUUUCCUUAUCAAGCGAGACCAGUGCCGAGUCAGGGAACCCACCUAUGGGCUUUUGGGUCAAGGCAGUAGGCCUGGAGGCACCGAUCAGCCUGGGACUCCCAAAGCAGCUUGGCUCCCAGAGCACCCCCCCCCCCGCCUUCCCCUUGUGCCGGGGCCACUGAGGGUCCCUCCCCUGGUGCUCCUGUCUCCAGUCUAGCUGCUUCCAGUGCACCUGGGCUCAUAUGUCAGUCCCUAUGGAGUGCCCCCGACUCCUGCACUCUGUUCUUUGGGCAGCACAGGUGAGGGAGGGGAGUGGGGGGCAUGGUGGGCUGUGCCCCAUGCCCCCACCCAUGCAGUUCUGUGUGAGUCUGCAUCUCCUCUGACCUCUUGACCUCCUGCAGUCUCUGCUGAGGGCGGGGGCUUCCAAGCUUAGUUCCCACCUUCAGACUGUCAACUGUUUACCCCGGGAACUGGGCAGGAAGGGGAGGUAGGUAAAAAUGCCAGAGCACACACACCACGAGAACUUCCUGUUCAGCUGGUGUUUGGGGCUGGCCCUAGGAUUCGAUGGUCUGAUGCCUUGGCCUGGCUUGCACUGGGGUUGGUGCCAGAGGAGGAAUAGGUGAAGCUGGGCAGUGGACUGCACGGUGGGAGGGGCCUGGUAGGGCCGUAGCCCUCAGCGGAGCCCUGGGCCUUAUGGGUGCAGCACCCAUGAGGCCAGCAUGGAAGUGCAGUGUGGCCCUCUCUGCCGUCCUCCACGGUGCCCACUUGGUCCCUGAGCUCUCCUCUGUCCUCCCUGCAGGCAAACCUCUUCCCUGCUGCCCUUGUGCACUUUGGACCUGAGGAGCCAACAGGCAUCUACCUGGAGCCCACGCUGCUGGAACACACCAUUUCCCCGUCUGCAGCUGACGUGCUGGUGGCCAG
This is an RNA transcript of Aethalodelphis obliquidens (Pacific white-sided dolphin), 2925 nucleotides long. It is a transcript of the gene named ASPSCR1 tether for SLC2A4, UBX domain containing, with no coding region annotated. Lineage: Eukaryota; Metazoa; Chordata; Mammalia; Artiodactyla; Delphinidae. The record is from RefSeq and is a predicted model, not a curated record. The transcript has 15 exons.